This is a non-coding RNA of Microcebus murinus (gray mouse lemur), 1473 nucleotides long. The record is from RefSeq and is a predicted model, not a curated record. NCBI's taxonomy places the organism in Eukaryota, Metazoa, Chordata, Mammalia, Primates, Cheirogaleidae.
UCCAGGAGUUUGAGGUUGCAGUGAGCUACGAUGACGCCACUGCACUCUAGCCCGGAGACAGAGAGGCAAUUCCAUCCGCGUGGCUUACACAGCGUCAGGAGCAUCAUGACUGAAUGUUGUAUAUGAGGGUUGGCCCCGUGCAGCACCAAUGGGCUGCCCUGUCUCCAUCCUGAACAGCUGCCUGCUGCUUGGAUUCUGGUGGGCCAACCUCAUGUUGCUCUCCAACACCGGAGGUUGUGGUUGUCCAAGAAUUGCCAAUUGGCCCAGUCACUAACUAGUGCUGAGACUAUGGAAGUCACUUUAGCUGAGUGUCAGUUUCUUCAUCUAUAAAAUAGGGCAAAUAUCCUGCCCUUCCUACUUACCUAAGACAGCAUGGAUAUGAAAGCCUCCAAAGCUCCAGCAUAGAUGUCUCUGGAGCUGCAGGACUCACAGACCACGAGAGGACAGCAGGCCAGAGCCCACGCCAUCAGACCUUCUCAAGUCACAGGCCAGACUGGGGAGGCCACAUGCCCACAGGUCAAGAAAGCCGGGUCUCUGACUCCAACCCAGCAUUUGUAUACCCACAGGUGCUGGAAGCGGGGCAUGAACAGCACCCAGGAUUCUGGCAAGGCCCCUACGGCUGGUGAGUGGGGCUAAAGAUCUCCCAGAGAGCAGGCAGGACCAGCACAGCCCCACUCAUCCACCAGAAGCCACAGCUAUCUCUUCGCUCAGCAAACAGACCCACCUCAAAGGAUAUCGCGGGAUGAGGAGGGUGGCAGGGGUAGGCACCGGUGACUGCAGAUGCAAUCGGCCCCCAUUCUGUCUUCUCACCUACACUCUAAGACCUAAGAUCCUUUCAAAAAAAUUUUUAUCCCUACGUACAAAGUCCCAAUUGUAUUACUAAGGCAAAGAGAAUUCCGGGUCUUUGUGGGGUCUACUUGGCCUCAGUUGAUAGUCUCACAAACAGGGAACAAAGAACGCAGAGAGGCUGCAGGUUUACAGAGGGAGACACGACCCAGUAGGGGAGCUGAGGAGACACCCGGAGUCCCCCUGACCAGGCUCAGGAGAUUCAGACUGCGCUUUCAACGACAGCCCACGAGGGACCUGAGGAAAGAGGCCUCCAACGCAUAACUCUUUUGAGAGCCACCCUGUGCCCAAAAUACCUGCAGAACCAAGUGCCCACCUAUGUGUCUGCUGUACUUGUGGGUGGCAUCCGGAAGUUUCUGGGUGCCAAAGACAUUCUACCCUGUAGCCUCAUCUACUCUCUCACCCACUGGGGCUGUGACUCAUUUUCUCCCACGGUUUGAUCCUCCUCUGUUUGCUAAACCUGGAUUCUGGUUUGCUUCAUGUCCUGGGGGACUCUGAGAACAAAGUUCCUUCCGUAGCUGGGCUCUGACAGUCCCCUCCAUGCACCUUCCUGUUCAUAGGUGUUACCAAUGGGUGACCCUAGACAAAUUCCGUAACUCCCCCCUUGCCAAUAACUCAGAAAUGUCA